CAGCCGCCGCGGUAACACCAGCAGCCCAAGUGGUGGUCGCGAUUAUUGGGCCUAAAGCGCUCGUAGCCGGGCCGGUAAGUCCCUUGUGAAAUCGGACGGCCUAACCGUUCGGCGUGCAGGGGAUACUGUCGGUCUUGAGGCCGGGAGACGUCCGAGGUACUCCGGGGGUAGCGGUGAAAUGUUCUGAUCCUCGGGGGACCACCGGUGGCGAAGGCGUUCGACGAGAACGGGCCUGACGGUGAGGGGCGAAGGCUAGGGGAGCAAACGGGAUUAGAUACCCCGGUAGUCCCUGUCUCUUAUA
Molecule: ribosomal RNA, 301 nt
Filed under: uncultured bacterium
Lineage: Bacteria
Description: partial 16S ribosomal RNA
Rfam family: Archaeal small subunit ribosomal RNA
Source: RNAcentral